UCCUACGGGAGGCAGCAGUGGGGAAUAUUGGACAAUGGGGGCAACCCUAAUCCAGCCAUGCCGCGUGUGUGAAGAAGGCCCUCGGGUUGUAAAGCACUUUCAGCGAGGAAGAACGCCUAGCGGUUAAUACCCGCUAGGAAAGACAUCACUCUCAGAAGAAGCACCGGCUAACUCCGUGCCAGCAGCCGCGGUAAUACGGAGGGUGCAAGCGUUAAUCGGAAUUACUGGGCGUAAAGCGCGCGUAGGUGGCUUGAUAAGCCGGUUGUGAAAGCCCCGGGCUCAACCUGGGAACGGCAUCCGGAACUGUCAAGCUAGAGUGCAGGAGAGGAAGGUAGAAUUCCCGGUGUAGCGGUGAAAUGCGUAGAGAUCGGGAGGAAUACCAGUGGCGAAGGCGGCCUUCUGGACUGACACUGACACUGAGGUGCGAAAGCGUGGGUAGCAAACAGGAUUAGAUACCCUGGUAGUCCACGCCGUAAACGAUGUCGACCAGCCGUUGGGUGCCUAGCGCACUUUGUGGCGAAGUUAACGCGAUAAGUCGACCGCCUGGGGAGUACGGCCGCAAGGUUAAAACUCAAAUGAAUUGACGGG
Molecule: ribosomal RNA, 588 nt
Filed under: uncultured bacterium
Lineage: Bacteria
Description: bacterial SSU rRNA
Rfam family: Bacterial small subunit ribosomal RNA
Source: RNAcentral